GACGAACGCUGGCGGCGUGCUUAACACAUGCAAGUCGAACGGAAAGAGAUGAAAGAGCUUGCUCUUUUAUUAAUUUCAGUGGCAAACGGGUGAGUAACACGUAAACAACCUGCCUUAAGGAUGGGGAUAACAGACGGAAACGACUGCUAAUACCGAAUACGUUCUAAGCAUCGCAUGAUGCAUAGAAGAAAGGGUGGCCUCUACAAGAAAGCUAUCGCCUUAAGAGGGGUUUGCGACUGAUUAGGUAGUUGGUGAGGUAACGGCUCACCAAGCCGACGAUCAGUAGCCGGUCUGAGAGGAUGAACGGCCACACUGGAACUGAGACACGGUCCAGACUCCUACGGGAGGCAGCAGUGGGGAAUCUUCCGCAAUGGACGAAAGUCUGACGGAGCAACGCCGCGUGAACGAAGAAGGUCUUCGGAUUGUAAAGUUCUGUGAUUCGGGACGAAAGGGUUUGUGGUGAAUAAUCAUAGACAUUGACGGUACCGAAAAAGCGAGCCACGGCUAA
This 508-nucleotide ribosomal RNA is filed under the name Dialister pneumosintes. RNAcentral's name for it is "bacterial SSU rRNA". It matches the Rfam family "Bacterial small subunit ribosomal RNA", at positions 28 to 500 of the family's 1533-position model. The record is from RNAcentral. Lineage: Bacteria; Bacillati; Bacillota; Negativicutes; Veillonellales; Veillonellaceae.